This is a long non-coding RNA of Erinaceus europaeus (western European hedgehog), 1403 nucleotides long. RefSeq lists it as uncharacterized. Lineage: Eukaryota; Metazoa; Chordata; Mammalia; Eulipotyphla; Erinaceidae. The transcript has 3 exons. The record is from RefSeq and is a predicted model, not a curated record.
ACUAGGAAGUGAACCACUUGGAAUGGAAUUAGAGAAUCCUAUGAAAGGAAAGGUCUCACCUUUGAAUCCUAUGAAAGUAAUGAGGCCGAAGGGUUGACAAUCCAUGCCUGACGUCCCUGGAUACAUGCUGAGGUGGGUUCACUUCCUAACAAAUAUGUGCCGUCCUGAACUGGGUGAGUCAAGAACAUAUUAUACUUGUGGAAACUGGAUUUCAAAACUCGACUUAGUAGUUCACCACACUGCUAAUUGGUAAACUGAGCUGUUCACGGACACUUUUCUCAAACGAUCAUUUGAGUUCAUGUCCAUGGCCAUUGUCACUGGUGAAUGUCAGCAGGGAGAGACGGUACAGGUGGUGGAUGCUGGCCUCACGCUCAGAGCCCCCUGUCCCACCCUGCGGCACCAUGGCUCUGCACCCCACCUCCCAGGGGGGCAGCCACAAGCCGCUCCUCCUCCAUCUGGAUGCUCUGGGGGCAGGGGGGCAAGAAGGGCACAGCCGUUCAUGCCUUGAACCUGGGCUGCUGGCACACAGGGCCUCCUGCCAGACACCUGCGUGGCCCAGCACCUGGCUGAGGGCUCUACAGACCCAGGCUGCCUUCAGCAAGUCUGGAGGGAGGGCACUGUGACACUUCCUGCCGCUGGAGAGGAGCACCAUGCCGCCACCUCUCCUGUCAGGCUCUCGCAGCCCAGCGUCAGGGCUAAUUGGCCGAGGCCAGACGCAGCCGCAGAGACAGCGAUGAUUGCUACUCUGGAGAGACUGGCCCUGGGAGGUGGGGGGAAGAUGUGGUGACCCCAACAGGAGUUGGGGACUAUUAGCAUACAAAUGACGUCAGCCUGAGGAGGUGCUGCAGAGGAGGGACUGCAUAAAAGCAAGGGACUUGGAGCACGUCGCUCUCUUUGGCUGCUGCUGCUUCUCCUGGUCAGAUUAAUCUUGGCGGAGUAUCUGACAUGGCUACUUCUCUUGGGGACUGAACACGUGUGACUCUGCUAGCCGGUAAACGUUUAGACCCCUCUACAGCCAUGAGCAACCUUUACCUGAGCUGAUAAUUGUUUAUCUUAUGGGACUAAACUUUUGAUAACCAUACUCAGACUUUAGGGACCUAGCGUACUCUUAACCCUUGAUGAUAAGUGCUUAUUUUGCCUUUUACCUGUUUCACCCUAAUAAACCUUGUAUUGUUUAAACCAGUUCCCAGCUCCCCACUGUGAAUCCUUUCACACACCGCAGCAACCCCACAAAUCCCCCUUUUAAGUUAAAUUACAAGCUGCCACUUCUCCAGACAGGCUCUGGCAGCCCGGAGUCAGGGGCUAAUUGGCUGAGGCCAGAGGCAGCGGCAGAGACAGCAAUGAUUGCUACUCUGGAGAGACCGGCCCUGGGAGGUGGGGAGAAAGCAACAAGAGGGGCUGCA